CCUAGCCAGCCGCGCCUCGCAGCAAUGCCUCCCAGCAGCGUCGGACCAGCCACCCAGUAGCGCCGGACCAGCCCCUUCCAGCAUGCAGCACCUCCCAACACCGAACACCAGAUAUGGAGGAUCCAACUCAUCCAAGUCAGGGCAGCACAACAGACAGCACCCACGAUCAACACAGCACCUUGCCACUUCCACCCAGCAGCCGAUUCAAGUGAAUAUGGAGCCCGAGCCAUCUAUUCAGGUUUGGGGCUGAUGUGAUGGAAGUAGUUGCAUCUUGGACAAAAGCCUUGUGCGUUGACAUCUCUCAAGGCGGCAUACCAAAUCAUGUUGAUGAUGUCAAAGCUGAAGCUAGUGACUUAGGAAAUAAAGUUUUAUCUAAUUGGAGUGUACUUCACAUUAGGACAGGCAAUGGUUUCCUUCUCCAAGAAUUAGCUAAACAGGGUAUGGUAUUUCUUGUGAUGUUCUGCACUUUUAGUAAUAUAUGCUGUAUAAUUCUUUUAUAUAAAAAAAGAGAAAAGAAAGACUUUGUAAAAGUUAGCAAAUUUCUGAAUUACUAUUUAUUAUAACAAAAUGUGUAUUGUUGGAAAUCGGAA
This is a long non-coding RNA of Arachis duranensis, 590 nucleotides long. RefSeq lists it as uncharacterized. NCBI's taxonomy places the organism in Eukaryota, Viridiplantae, Streptophyta, Magnoliopsida, Fabales, Fabaceae. The record is from RefSeq and is a predicted model, not a curated record. The transcript has 3 exons.